CCUACGGGAGGCAGCAGUGGGGAAUAUUGCACAAUGGGGGGAACCCUGAUGCAGCGACGCCGCGUGAGUGAAGAAGUAUGUCGGUAGGUAAAGCUCUGUCAGCAGGGAAGAAGAAAGACGGAACCUGACCAAGAAGCCCAGGCUAACUACGUGCCAGCAGCCGCGGUAAUACGUAUGGGGCAAGCGUGAUCCGGAUUUACUGGGUGUAAAGGGAGCGUAGACGGCAGGGCAAGUCUGGAGUUAAAGGCAGGGGCCCACCCCCUGGACUGCUCUGGAAACUGUCCGGCUGGAGUGCAGGAGAGGUAAGUGGUCUUCCUAGUGUAGCGGUUACCUGCGUCGAUCUUAGGAGUAACACCAGUGGCGACGGCGGCUUACUGGACUGUACCUGACGUUGCGGCUC
RNAcentral lists this ribosomal RNA (400 nucleotides) under uncultured bacterium. RNAcentral's name for it is "partial 16S ribosomal RNA". It matches the Rfam family "Bacterial small subunit ribosomal RNA", at positions 338 to 754 of the family's 1533-position model. The record is from RNAcentral.